AAAAUCUAUAGAUGUAUGAACAGCAAACAUCUAUAAUUGAUGGAAGCAGAGUUGAAAGAAAACGCAUUUCUUUCAACUUUGCUUCCAUCAAUUUGUUUCAUUCUUCAAGCAACGUCAUUUCACUUAUUAAUUCAGAAAUUUUAUUCUGUUCAAAGGCGUAAGAAGUAAAACAUUCUUCAUCUUUUCCUGAACCAAGAUUCCUGUAGAGAAAACAAUCAUUCAUAGGAUAAGGCUGAUGAGGACGCUGCAGACGCUUCGACUCUAAUAGGAAUUCCUCUAAAGACGUCGCACGUGAAAUUUGUUCUUCACAAGGAAUGCCUGUUUGGUCAACGGUUUCUUCUCGUUGGCGAUGACUCGAAUAUCAGUUCUUGGGAUCCAUCAAAAGCCAUUCCUUUGGAAUGGUCUGAUGGCCAUGUGUGGACAACUGAGCUGGGAACUUUCUCACUUCAUAGCAACUGGAAAACUUCACUGCAAGAUCGACAAAGUCGCCGACAUUCUAGAAACUAACCGACCUGACGCCAGAAAUGCUUUCUACCGGGCAACUAUCAAGCAGGGCGAUUUCUUGCUCAACCGCAUCCAGAAGCUAUCAUGAGUGAUCGAUUUGUAAACAAUCUUUUGUCCCUUAAACUUAAUAUGGUGCUGAAAUUUUCUUUCACUUAAUAUGGUGCUGAAAUUUUCUUUCACUUAAUAUGGUGCUGAAAUUUUCUUUCAUCUUUUCAUACAUCUCUCUAUGAAGCUCCUUAUCCGCAAAUUCAGUUGACAUUUGUUUGGAUAGAAAUUUCUGGGUCGAUGCGUAUCGAUUUGAAUUCUUAUAUUCCUAUUUGUCAUUUUGGCUAAAAUUAGCACACAAGAUCUGAUUUCUUGCGGCAGCUUAUCUAUAUUGUUUUUUCAUGUUGGUAGUGCAGUUCAUUCGGUAGUACUUUUUACUUGAAAUUGAAUUUAUUGGCAGAUGUUUAGUGCUGGCUCGAUUAAACUAACUGAUAUUUCUGCACGUACUGACCUAAUCUAAGGCAAGGUGAGUAUUUAUUCGCAAAAUAUGUCUUAUAUUUCUUGAAAUUAAGAUGUCUUUCGCUCCUUUCAGCUCUAACUUAAUUGGUUUCAUGUUUUCUAUCUAUCUUUUAACUGAAUUGAUAUUUGAGGGUAAUCUCUUUUGUCCUUUUGAACCAUAAAAUGUAGGAUAUUUCAGGACAAUCUCUUUUGUUCUUUCGAAUCAUAAAACUUGUCCCAAAAAAGAGUUCACCAAUCUUAGAAUGUUAUCCUGGUUUCAAAGUUUUGGUGGUCAAAGUUCCUAAGUUCAUAUAUGGCGGGGGACCACAACUUCUGUUGUUUCUGAUAAAGUGAUACAAUAUUAAAUGAUACAAUGUGUCAUAGUUUUUUGGCUCUUUUGUUGUUCUCUUUUUAUUGGUGCCAUAUGCUUCAUGAGUUGUGGUAAAUUAUUAAGUGCAAUAGAUUGGGGAGCCACCAUCUUAAUUACUACUUGUAUACGAAAUGGAGAUGCAUGUAUUAAAUUGCAUUUCGAGUCUGAUAAUCUGUCACCUUUAAAAUGUCUUGCUCAUUGUUGGAUAAUGUCUUUUUUUAAGAUGAAAUGAUUAUCUAAUACUAGAAAAUUUAUUCGUUUAGGUUUCAGACGCAUCCAGCGCUCGUAAUAUGCAUCAAUAAUCUCGUUGCCCUUCAGGUUCAACAUCUUAAUUGCCGAGCUCACUAAGACUGGAUCUGAUAUGAUAUUAUUAGUUUUUGUUUUUAUUUCUCUUUCUCUAGGGUUAAAAAGCUAGAAAUUGUUGGUACUGUGAUUUAGUGACUAAAUACUCAUUUAAAGAUAUAUGGAUAGUACUGUGAGACAUUUUGGUAUAUAUGACUACAAAACUUCUUUUAUA
RNA transcript from Ananas comosus (pineapple), 1874 nucleotides. RefSeq lists it as uncharacterized. NCBI's taxonomy places the organism in Eukaryota, Viridiplantae, Streptophyta, Magnoliopsida, Poales, Bromeliaceae. The transcript is spliced from 5 exons. The record is from RefSeq and is a predicted model, not a curated record.